GGCGAACGGGUGAGUAACACGUGGGUGAUCUGCCCUGCACUUCGGGAUAAGCCUGGGAAACUGGGUCUAAUACCGGAUAGGAGCCAUUUUUAGUGUGAUGGCUGGAAAGUUUUUCGGUGUAGGAUGAGCUCGCGGCCUAUCAGCUUGUUGGUGGGGUAAUGGCCAACCAAGGCGGCGACGGGUAGCCGGCCUGAGAGGGUGGACGGCCACAUUGGGACUGAGAUACGGCCCAG
RNAcentral lists this ribosomal RNA (233 nucleotides) under uncultured Actinomycetales bacterium. Its description in RNAcentral is "partial 16S ribosomal RNA". It matches the Rfam family "Bacterial small subunit ribosomal RNA", at positions 97 to 334 of the family's 1533-position model. The record is from RNAcentral. Lineage: Bacteria; Bacillati; Actinomycetota; Actinomycetes; Actinomycetales.